This 253-nucleotide ribosomal RNA is filed under the name uncultured bacterium. Its description in RNAcentral is "partial 16S ribosomal RNA". It matches the Rfam family "Bacterial small subunit ribosomal RNA", at positions 524 to 776 of the family's 1533-position model. The record is from RNAcentral.
UACGUAGGGUGCAAGCGUUGUCCGGAAUUAUUGGGCGUAAAGAGCUCGUAGGCGGUUUGUCGCGUCGAAUGUGAAAACCCGGGGCUCAACCCCGGGCCUGCAUUCGAUACGGGCAGACUAGAGUUCGGUAGGGGAGUCUGGAAUUCCUGGUGUAGCGGUGGAAUGCGCAGAUAUCAGGAGGAACACCGAUGGCGAAGGCAGGUCUCUGGGCCAUUACUGACACUGAGAAGCGAAAGCAUGGGGAGCGAACAGG